RNAcentral lists this ribosomal RNA (370 nucleotides) under uncultured bacterium. RNAcentral's name for it is "bacterial SSU rRNA". It matches the Rfam family "Bacterial small subunit ribosomal RNA", at positions 30 to 398 of the family's 1533-position model. The record is from RNAcentral.
AUUGAACGCUGGCGGCAUGCUUUACACAUGCAAGUCGAACGGCAGCACGGGUGCUUGCACCUGGUGGCGAGUGGCGGACGGGUGAGUAAUACAUCGGAACGUAUCCAGAAGAGGGGGAUAACGCAUCGAAAGAUGUGCUAAUACCGCAUAUUCUCUGAGGAGGAAAGCAGGGGAUCGAAAGACCUUGCGCUUUGGGAGCGGCCGAUGUCUGAUUAGCUAGUUGGUGGGGUAAAGGCCUACCAAGGCGACGAUCAGUAGUUGGUCUGAGAGGACGACCAGCCACACUGGGACUGAGACACGGCCCAGACUCCUACGGGUGGCAGCAGUAGGGAAUAUUGCACAAUGGGCGAAAGCCUGAUGCAGCAACGCC